RNAcentral lists this ribosomal RNA (301 nucleotides) under uncultured bacterium. RNAcentral describes it as "partial 16S ribosomal RNA". It matches the Rfam family "Bacterial small subunit ribosomal RNA", at positions 509 to 807 of the family's 1533-position model. The record is from RNAcentral.
CAGUAGCCGCGGUAAUACGAAGGGCGCGAGCGUUACCCGGAUUUACUGGGCGUAAAGCGUGCGUAGGCGGUGAGUUAAGUCUGCUGUGAAAUCCCCGGGCUCAACCUGGGAAUGGCAGUGGAUACUGGCUCGCUAGAGUGUGUCAGAGGAUGGUGGAAUUCCCGGUGUAGCGGUGAAAUGCGUAGAGAUCGGGAGGAACAUCAGCGGCGAAGGCGGCCAUCUGGGACAACACUGACGCUGAGGCACGAAAGCGUGGGGAGCAAACAGGAUUAGAUACCCCGGUAGUCCCUGUCUCUUAUAC